GGAGUUAGCCGGUGCUUCUUCUGUGAGUGAUGUCCUUCCUGCCGGCUAUUAACCCGCAGGCCUUCUUCCUCACUGAAAGUGCUUUACAACCCGAAGGCCUUCUUCACACACGCGGCAUGGCUGGAUCAGGGUUGCCCCCAUUGUCCAAUAUUCCCCACUGCUGCCUCCCGUAGGAGUCUGGGCCGUGUCUCAGUCCCAGUGUGGCUGAUCAUCCUCUCAGACCAGCUACGGAUCGUCGCCUUGGUGAGCCGUUACCUCACCAACCAGCUAAUCCGACAUAGGCUCAUCCGAUAGCGCGAGGCCCGAAGGUCACCCGCUUUCCCCCGUAGGGCGUAUGCGGUAUUAGCCUGGGUUUCCCCAGGUUAUCCCCCACUACCGGGCAGAUUCCUAUGCAUUACUCACCCGUCCGCCGCUCGCCACCAGGGAGCAAGCUCCCCGUGCUGCCGCUCGACUUGCAUGUGUUAGGCCUGCCGCCAGCGUUCAAUCUGAACCAAGAUCAAAUUCUGA
RNAcentral lists this ribosomal RNA (507 nucleotides) under uncultured bacterium. RNAcentral's name for it is "partial 16S ribosomal RNA". The record is from RNAcentral.